Molecule: ribosomal RNA, 502 nt
Filed under: uncultured bacterium
Lineage: Bacteria
Description: partial 16S ribosomal RNA
Rfam family: Bacterial small subunit ribosomal RNA
Source: RNAcentral
AGCGAACGCUGGCGGCGUGCCUAACACAUGCAAGUUGAACGUGAAAGGGAGCACUCCCAAGUAAAGUGGCGUACGGGUGAGUAACACGUAGGUAAUCUACCCCAGAAUCUGGAAUAACCGGCCGAAAGGCUGGCUAAUACUGGAUAGAGCGACGGAAUCCGUAAUUGGGUUUUUCGGGAAAGGGAGCCUGUAAAAAGGCCUUCGUUCUGGGAUGAGCCUGCGUCCCAUCAGCUAGUUGGUGAGGUAAAAGCUUACCAAGGCAAUGACGGGUAGCUGGUCUGAGAGGACGAUCAGCCACACUGGAACUGAAACACGGUCCAGACGCCUACGGGAGGCAGCAGUGGGGAAUCUUGCGCAAUGGACGAAAGUCUGACGCAGCAACGCCGCGUGAGUGAAGAAGGCCUUCGGGUUGUAAAGCUCUGUCGAGUGGGACGAAAAUGCUUGGAGUUCACAGCUCCAGGAACUGACGGUACCACUAAAGGAAGCACCGGCUAACUCCGUG